UACGGGAGGCAGCAGUGAGGAAUAUUGGUCAAUGGACGCAAGUCUGAACCAGCCGCGUCGCGUGAAGGAAGACGGCCCUACGGGUUGUAAACUUCUUUUAUACGGGAAUAAAGUGCCCCACGCGUGGGGUUAUGCAAGUACCGUACGAGUAA
Molecule: ribosomal RNA, 152 nt
Filed under: uncultured bacterium
Lineage: Bacteria
Description: partial 16S ribosomal RNA
Rfam family: Bacterial small subunit ribosomal RNA
Source: RNAcentral